CAAGCCAUCCGACUCUCCAAAUUAGCCUCCUUUCUAAUCAAAUUUGGCUAGCCACUCUGGCUAGCCAAGCUAACUUGUCUGUUGAAAUGAAAUGCUACAUAUAGAAUAUAAUCUUUAUGAAAAAUUAAAUAGAGAGUUAAAUAGAAAGUAAAAAAUAAAGAGUUCCUUGGAGAUGCCGUAAGACCGUCUUCAAUAGAGCGUGUAAAAUAUGGGACGUGAAACUAUAGAUAAUAAUGUUUGACCUGUUUGUAGAGAGAAAUUUAAAAUAGAAAAUGAGAUAUGAGAUAUAACAGGGAACCCACUGGAGCGCUAGCGCUAGCGCUGAUUGUUGUCCCAAGAAAACACUAAACAAUAACUUGGGUUCGGAUAUAUAUAACACUGCACAAUAAUUUAGGUUCACGUAUGCCCGAAUAUGAGAAAACCAACAAAAUAGACAAGAUUUUGCUGGUGAGAAAAAAAAAAUAUAAUCAAUCACACAGCUACCAAAUAUCAAACAGAUAAAUAUAAGAUAAACACGCAUACAUACCACGGACCGCACAACCAGUGAGAAAACCACCUAUUUGCUAUCAGUAUAUACCCAAUUUGCAUUCUUUACGGGUGCCACUCGUUUGACUGAUGGGUAUUUCAGCUAUGUGUAGUUUGGAAUAGUUCGUGUUCGGGUACCAGGUGUCGUGCCGGACCCUAGAAAAGGCUAUGGUGCCAUCCAUCCAUCCAUCAGCGUCUACCGUCGCCGUUGCUUUUGAGCAACGCACUGAAUGGAUCCCAAGGCUCGAUAGCCAUGCCUACUACGAGUCCGAGGUAGCUAGGAAUCCUACCAGGAUACCGACAUCGGAACAACUCAAAAGCGCUCCUGCUUUCAGAGACAGGCGUGGAUUCUGCAGCCAACUCAUUGCCUACGCAAGAAUUCAACCCCCAACUGUCCUAGUAUGAGACUCUUCUCCAGCCACAUGUUCCUUUCAGUUUUAUAUUGGGCGGAAUUUGAUGCUGCAAAAGAAUCCACGGUACUCUUGAUGGACUUCACAACACAAAAUAUAACAUCCUAUCUCCAUAAAAAGGGGGGGAAGAAAAACAACAUAACAUGCAAGCUACUUGCAUAUACAAGUAAUAAUAAAAACAACAUAACAUGCACGCUACUUGUGCCGUUGCCAUGCCAUGACAUGCCAUGUAGCAGCAGUCAUAACAUGUAGCUCGGUUCAGAACCCUAUAUAUCAUCAGGCAGACACGCCAAAUAUGCUACACGGCAUCGCAAACAGUCCAAGUAUCAUCAAGCACUAGUUCCUCUCUUAAUCACACAGUUCUCUAGCACAAACAGAUGCGUACAACACUUGAUGUAUGUGUUUUAGAUAAUUAACAGAUUUAAACGAAUACUAUUUUGAUACGGAGUGAGUACAAUCUUAGAGGAUUAUGCGACACGGUUUCAACUUACAAUAGAAGUGUGCUACAAUAUCAAGUCAUCAACAGUAUUAAAAAACACACACAAACAACCCAGGAUGAACUAGAUGGUUAUGUAAUUAAAUAAGAAGAAAUAGGCAUCCAAAUCGAAGUGGGUGUGACAAAGACCUGGAUGUGGAUGUACAGUGUACACCCACGCCUCCCACACGGUCCCACCAACUGAGCCUAGCUCAAUUUCUUCCUAGAGACACUAGUGGUUUAGACAGGCAACAUAGAGCAAUAAUCAUAGCAAACUUUUGUUUAAGAAACUGUGGCCUUCAGUUUGCUUAUGUAACUCUACUUGGAAAAAUCAAUCCUGUAGAAACUACAGGCUAGGAGUGCCAGGCACAAAACAAGCCAAAACCUGGAGGCCAAAUAUUCAAACGUUCCAAGACUAAUUGUGAUCCAACACCACAUCUAAUUCUGUAAGAGGGCUGAACCAGAUCUAGGAGCUAGCCCUUAACCAUCCAUAUUCAUAGAAAGAAUUUCAAUCGACCAAGUUACAGCAAAUCCAAACCCCAUGCUGCUUCAAUACUCGAUCCCAAAGCUUGGACAAAAGGUUUCUCUAAACUUGCUAGGACGAUACCAGGUGUUUGGUGUGGCUUUCAAAACUUUUGGGGAUAGAGAAAUUUGUGUCAAAGGUUAAUUUGGGCACAAACCAAACACACAUGUGACAAGCUAGGCUGGAGAAAUCUAAUGAGUAAAAGUUCUUGCAAAGAAACUAGAGCCAGAUUAAUUCUGUGGAGACGUCAAGAUAAUUCACAUCACCUAAUACAUCGAUUCCCAGAUCUAUUUCUCCUAUGGCGCGAUUAAUUAGUUGUAAGUUCAAACUACCAGCUAAACACUGAAAAGGUAAUUCUACUGAAGGAAACCUGGUACCAAAAGCUAUAAAUCUAGACCUAAUUGUAGUGAAGGAAGCUUGAAUAAACACGUAAGUUUUGGAUCAAAAGUUACACAUCCAAGUGAACAACCUCACAGGAAACUAGAACAGAAAUAUGUAUCAUUGGUAUCAAUGACGACAAUGAACUAUAGACACCCACAGCAAGUAGAUGGUUUUAAGCUCAUCAGUUUUCAAUAUAUUAUGGUACAGUACAAACAAGAUGCUGUUCUUAUCCUAUAUUCAAGAACAUCCCCGCACAUUCACAAUUAGGGAAAAAUCAUAUAAUCAAACUUCAAGAGUUAUCCAGUUUAUGUGCACUGUCUAAGAUUCAUGUUGUCAAUUGACAAGCAUUAAACAUCACAUCCAGGAAAAGAACAUAACACUGAUACAAUAGGAAGUUUGUGAAAUGAAGAGGCAGAGGCUGUAAAAUUUCAACCGAUAAUAAUGCAUGCUCCAGAGGAGGACAAUGUCAUCUGAUAUAACAAACUGCAAGUCAUGAUGGAAGGAAGAACAAAGAAGAGAUGGAAGGACUAAGGAGCAAGGAAGGGACUUGUGGUCCUACACCUACUACAUACAGCCAUACAAAACCUUAUUCUAAAACAAAAUAUAGAACCUCUUAAGGGCUUGUUCGGUUGCGUCUAAAUUGAAGGGAAUUGGAGGGGACUAAAUCCCUCUCUAGUCAAAAUUGAAUAGAAGAUCCCCUUCGAUCCAGACCCAAGCGAACAAGGCUAAGGCCUUGUUCGUUUACAUCGGAUUGCACCCGGAAUCGUUCCGGCUAAUCAAAGUUAAUAUAAAUUAAAGAAGCAAUCCGGCUCGGAAUCGUUCCGACCCACCAAUCCGACACAAACGAACAAGGCCUAAACAGGAAAGAAACCCAUACGGUCAAAGCUAGACAUAUAACCUUGCAAAUCACAUGAAUGUUAUUCCUUGGAACUGAUCACAAAAAAUACUUGACCAAGUGUUGUACACGAGCCUUGUUAUGUGUUAGACCAACGUAUUUGCUAAUUCAUGACAAAACUUGAUCAGCAAAAAACUCAUACUAACAAAAUUUAUAUCAUUAAACUCUAUCCUACAACUAGUGUGAUACAAUUAAAUCAUUUGCAAAUUACUGAGAAUCAGCCAUGUCCUUUGGCCCUGUAAGGUAGUAAUGUGAAAGUGUGAUGCAACCAAGCGAUUUAAACUCUAAAGGUCACUAGGGAUCAUUAUUUUCCAUACGAAAGAAGUCAAUGAAGCAAACUAGUUGGCACAUGACUAAGGUCAGUAGUGAUUAUUAUUCAAACAACUUGUGCAUCACACUCAAGAAAAUGCCCUACACCUUUGUACAUUUUAGGCCUUAUUCGGUUGCAUGAGGAUUGAGGGGUUGAAUCAUUCAAUUUUGAGUAGGAAGGGAUUUAAUCCCCUUCAAUUCACCCCUAACCGAACAAGCCCUUAAUGGUCUGAACAAGAAUAUCAGAAGAUUUGGAUAAACCACCUAAUUGUUGAGGAAGUGUUAAACACCUCUGCACGCCUAAGAAGAUGAACCGAACUUUCAACAUAUUGAACCUGUAAGUAGUAGUGUGAACGUGUGAUACAACUAAGUGAUCAUUAUUUUCCAGAUGAAAGAAGCUAAAUUAAGCAGACUAGUGGGCACAUGAUUCGUCAGCAGUGAUCAUUACUCAAACAGCUUGCGCUUCACGCUCAAGAAAAUUCUCUGUGCCUUUGUACAUUGUGUAAUGAUUUGACACAAGAACAUCAGAAGAAUUGGAUGAGCCACCUAAUUAUUGAGAAAGCCCUGUACAUCUUUGCAUGCAAAUAAGAUGAACUAAACAUGUCAUAUUUUGAAUAAAGAGAAUUGUCUCACUAACCCAUGCACAUUCUUUUAGUUUCGUUAACUAGUCAGAUAAGAGCAACUCUAAAAGAAAAUGCAGACUUACCCCAAAACAAAUAUCAGGAAAGAACUGUUUUUUCUUGCUCCAAUAGUUCCCUUAUCUUCUUCCUAAAAAUUCCACAUCCUGCAUCGACGUCCUCCACUCCCGCAUAUUUGUGGGUGAGCGUUCCUCCCCAAUAUCUGUUUUAUCGUGCUUGGGAUGGUAAAACAGACGGCUUCAGCCCGGCGGCCGUUUCAACCUGGCAUGCAGCACAUGCAGAUUGUUGCUGCUUCCCACGUCAAAAAACAAAAAAAAAAACAAAAUACAAAGGUCCAUCGUUGAAAACCCAUACGCAGGUGCAAAGAGGCCUGCCUGGAAGAUGUUUUUUUUAAAAAAAAAUUUGAACCCGGUUUUUCAGUUUUUGUUUAAGGGAAUUGUUGGGGUAGACACAAUAUGACAAUAAUUUACCUAUAAAAGUUUUUAGCUGUCCUUAAUAAUCAUUUUUUUGGUGGAAAUAGUUUAGUAUCCUUUUAGAGUUGCUCUAAACUACUUAGUUCUCAAUUUCAUACAUAGAACACACAAAAGUUAAACUGACCACAGACCUGUACUGUCAGAGUGCAUAACAACUAAGGGGGUGUUUGGUUGCUCCUGCUAAAGUUUAGCCCGGGUCACAUCAAACGUUUGACUUUUAAAUAGGAGUAUGAAAUAUAGACCCAACCAACUGGACUAGAUUCGUCUCGUCUUUUAAUCUUCGGCUGACAAAUUAGUUUUAUAAUCCGACUACAUUUAAUACCCGGAACGGAGGUUCAAACAUUCGAUGGGACAGGGGCUAAAUUUUAGCGGGGUGUAACCAAACACCCCCUAAUGAUGACAUGCAAGAAAAAAACAUUGAAAAAGACGCCAAUUUAUCUGCAACCUUACCAAAGCAAAGCGUCCUGAGCCAAGGUAUUUACUGCCAUAAUGAAAUAAACCAGCCUGUACUCAAGAAAGACGCACAAAUCGCAUUAUUGCAGAAAAUGCGCAAGUAGCUCAACACGGUCAUUGGCAAAAAAAAAAAGGCCUCUACCUGUGUUGGUUAGAUGGUCCGAGUAGCACUUUUUAGGUGUUAAGUUUGACUUUCCGUAUGAGCAAAUUUUAGGCCACGCGAGAGAGUUCGACUCCUCGUGGGAGUGAAUUUUAGGCUGGGGUUAAAAAACAUUUUUCAUUUGUCCCACGUCAAAGCACAUGGCCUGGUUACAAUACGUUCUUGAUGUAAUGUUUAAGGACUGUCUUACCACGGCCGGUUGAGUUUUUUUUUUACAACGCAGCCAUUGCACUGAUACUAAUGUUGCCUGCACAGAUACAAGUAUAGUGAGUAACCUGGAGAUUGUCUGGUGUCGCUUUAUUCUCUUUUCUUCUGAAACUGAGGUGUCACUUCGUUUUCGAACAGCACUCCAUUUCGUUCCUUUGUAACAUGGUGGUUGUCUGGGGUAGACUUUCUCUGAAACUGAAAUGCAGUUAACAUGCUUUACAUGUGUGCUGGUAACGUGUAGACAUCUUUCCUGUUCCUGAAUAAUGCGACUGUGAUGGCCUGGGGUAUCGUCCUUGUAACCCUUAAACAAAGAGACGAAGUAUACAGCAGAUAAUAAGAUUCGAAGAAGCAUCUGUUAAUUGCAAUGGCAGUAUGGCAGCCACGGCCACAGGGAAGGAGGAGCGAGGAUUUUACCUACAAACAGUGGGGUCCGCGUGACGCCAGUGCGUGGGCACAGAAACACCCGCUUACUGCAGAAGAACGGGACCACGGAUGGUUAAAGCGGAGACAGCGAACUUCGGGAGACGGCCAGGGAAGGGUAAGGAAGUAGGGCCGGCGGCGGCGCCGGCGCGGCGGUGGGUUGCGUUUGCGUGCCUACAGAGAUGGGCCAUCGGGCAGCAAGGCCAGGAGGACAGGAAGAGG
This 6091-nucleotide long non-coding RNA is filed under the name Zea mays. Its description in RNAcentral is "long non-coding RNA (ZMAY_LNC002480)". The record is from RNAcentral. Lineage: Eukaryota; Viridiplantae; Streptophyta; Magnoliopsida; Poales; Poaceae.